RNAcentral lists this ribosomal RNA (459 nucleotides) under uncultured bacterium. RNAcentral's name for it is "partial 16S ribosomal RNA". It matches the Rfam family "Bacterial small subunit ribosomal RNA", at positions 338 to 795 of the family's 1533-position model. The record is from RNAcentral.
CCUACGGGAGGCAGCAGUGAGGAAUAUUGGUCAAUGGUCGGAAGACUGAACCAGCCAAGCCGCGUGAGGGAUGAAGGUACAGAGUAUCGUAAACCUCUUUUGUCAGGGAACAAAGGCGGGGACGUGUCCCCGGAUGAGUGUACCCGAAGAAAAAGCAUCGGCUAAAUCCGUGCCAGCAGCCGAGGUAAUACGGAGGAUGCGAGCUUUAUCCGGUUUUUUGGGGGUUAAAGGGUGCGCAGGCGGGCUGUUAAGUCAGCGGGCAAAGCCCGGGGCUCAACCCCGGCCCGCCGUUGAAACUGGGGGUCGCGAGUUGGAGAGAAGUAGGCGGAAUGCGCGGUGUAGCGGUGAAAUGCAUAGAUAUCGCGCAGAACUCCGAUUGCGAAGGCAGCAUGCCGGCUCCACACUGACGCUGAGGCACGAAAGCGUGGGUAUCGAACAGGAUUAGAUACCCGAGUAGUC